ACAUUUUCACACCGUGUAACCUGCAUGGAUUAUUAGCAGAAAAAGGCACUUAAGAACAAAAUGAACAGAAUUCAGUACAUUCUAACAGGUGGAGAAUAAAAUAGUUGAAAGGGUAUCGCCGGUGAUUGCUUGGAGCAUUUUCCAUAGGAAAUAGAUGGCACAAAGUAUAGUCAACCAAGUCCAUGGAACAAGGGUCAAGUAAUAAAAUUACACAAUAAAUAUAAUCUGGGUGAUAUUCAGAGCUACAAUCUGACAAAUGAUAAUCAAAUCCACUAUAGUGUGGGAUACCUCCCUACACAAAAUUCCACAAGGCUUAGGCCAGGACGACAUAGAUUACAGUGACCGGCACAGUUAAGAGAGUGAGAGACAAUCACAAAUGUCUGGCAACUUAUUAAAAAAACGCGUCAUGGGUACAAGUGUAGAAGCUAAGCAAACCACGCAGCAGAUAAAUCCAGAAGUAACCGAUGGGGCAACUGAGGAAUCGGAUUCAACCAACAAUACCCCAGUCGGAGCAAAGUGGAAGUCCCUACAGUCCAGAACCACUACAUUAGAGUAUGCUGAGAAGUACUCUAGUCGAAACGCGACUCCUACGGAGGGAAAGCAGCUUGGUUUCGGUGUGGCCCCGUCGACGGCGGCGACACAAGCCCUCACACUCCGGCAGCUCUCCACUACCACCCUAGAUCCACCGCAGGAGAGCAGCGCAAUUCCAACGCCCGCCACAGUCGCUAGAAAAUUAACACGUGAAA
RNAcentral lists this unclassified non-coding RNA (746 nucleotides) under Zea mays. RNAcentral's name for it is "misc RNA Zm00001eb175440". Lineage: Eukaryota; Viridiplantae; Streptophyta; Magnoliopsida; Poales; Poaceae. The record is from RNAcentral.